GAUGAACGCUGGCGGCGUGCUUAACACAUGCAAGUCGAACGGGAAACAUUUUAAUGAAGCUUCGGCAGAUUUGGUUUGUUUCUAGUGGCGGACGGGUGAGUAACGCGUGGGUAACCUGCCUCACACCGGGGGAUAACAGUCAGAAAUGGCUGCUAAUACCGCAUAAGCGCACGGAACCGCAUGGUUUGUGUGAAAAACUCCGGUGGUGUGAGAUGGACCCGCGUUGGAUUAGCCAGUUGGCAGGGUAACGGCCUACCAAAGCGACGAUCCAUAGCCGGCCUGAGAGGGUGAACGGCUACAUUGGGACUGAGACACGGCCCAG
This 322-nucleotide ribosomal RNA is filed under the name uncultured bacterium. Its description in RNAcentral is "bacterial SSU rRNA". It matches the Rfam family "Bacterial small subunit ribosomal RNA", at positions 28 to 334 of the family's 1533-position model. The record is from RNAcentral.